RNAcentral lists this non-coding RNA (27 nucleotides) under Mus musculus (house mouse). Lineage: Eukaryota; Metazoa; Chordata; Mammalia; Rodentia; Muridae. The record is from RNAcentral.
UGCUGGGUGCUUUCACCUUUGGGGCGG